This 468-nucleotide ribosomal RNA is filed under the name uncultured bacterium. RNAcentral's name for it is "partial 16S ribosomal RNA". It matches the Rfam family "Bacterial small subunit ribosomal RNA", at positions 28 to 507 of the family's 1533-position model. The record is from RNAcentral.
GAUGAACGCUGGCGGCGUGCCUAACACAUGCAAGUCGAACGGAAAGGCCCUGCUUUUGUGGGGUGCUCGAGUGGCGAACGGGUGAGUAACACGCGAGUAACCUGCCCUUGUAUUUGGGAUAACUUCAGGAAAAUGGGGCUAAUAUCGGAUAUGAGCUCCUGCUCCAUGGUGGGGGUUGGAAAGUUUCGGCGGUUGGGGAUGGACUCGCGGCUUAUCAGCUUGUUGGUGGGGUAGUGGCUUACCAAGGCUUUGACGGGUAGCCGGCCUGAGAGGGUGACCGGCCACAUUGCGACUGAGAUACGGCGCAGACUCCUACGGGAGGCAGCAGUCGGGAAUAUUGCACAGUGGGCGGAAGCCUGAUGCAGCAACGCCGCGUGCGGGAUGACGGCCUUCGGGUUGUAAACCGCUUUCGCCUGUGACGAAGCGUGAGUGACGGUAAUGGGUAAAGAAGCACCGGCUAACUACGUG